This 2183-nucleotide long non-coding RNA is filed under the name Homo sapiens (human). Its description in RNAcentral is "HSALNT0061029". The record is from RNAcentral. Lineage: Eukaryota; Metazoa; Chordata; Mammalia; Primates; Hominidae.
CUUUGGAUGCAAGUGAUAUAAAUCCAACUUAAACUAAAAAAUAGAGAGGAGGAGGAAUUUAUUGGUUUCCAUAACUAAAGAGUCCAGAGGACAGCUAUUUUCAAGCACAGCUAGAUCCAGGCAUUUGAACAAUGUUAUCAGGGAGCCAUCUCUUGACUUUACUUUUCUUUGUUUGUUGGCCUCAUUCCUUCCUACUGCAAAUGGCUUUCUUCAGGUGGCAAUGGAAGAUGAAAUACAAGCAGCUCCAGCUCACAUGAUCGCUUUCAUUCCAAGGCCUGGUCCCCAGCUUUGUAGACCUGGAUACUUGAUCUGACCAGGGUCAGGAGUUGGUGGGACUCAGGAAAGCCAACUUAUGCCAAUGACAGGACCCUCACAGAGUCAUUAGGAUGUUCAUUAGGAUGUUGGUAUAUUAAUUUACAGUGAAGCAUUUCAAAACAGGACUCAUGGUCUGGAGGCACAAGCCUUGCAGUAAGCUAUAAGUCGCACCCACUUCUCUGGCUGAGCAGUGGUUCCUGAAGCUUCCCUGUGGGGAAGCUUUUAUGUACCCCAAUAGACCCCUUGCCCUAGGGAACUUCCAGUGGGAUGGCUCUUCUCCUUCCAUUCUCUUAAGGCAGAGUGAGUUUGCAGUGUCAGAGCUCUGGAAGACCGGUGACACUCUUUUUUAACUUAUUUACUCCACCCUCAUAGAAAACCCACUGUGUGCUGGCUUGAGCUAGCAUCAGGACACAAAACUGAUUAAGGCAAAUUAUCUGCCCUCCAGUUGCUCACAGUAUAGCAGGGGUGACUGACAAGAAAAUAAACUGCAAUACAGAUCUGUUGAAGGUCUAAAGUUAAGUACAAGAUGCAGUGGGGAACAUCUAAAAUAAUGGAGUCCUGGACUGUUCUAGCAUUCAUCACACUAGGUUUUAGAGCACUCUACGUUCAUCUGUCUGUCCCUUAUGAGAAUAUGAACCUUUAAAGGGAAAGGAUCAUGUUCUAUUUCUCUCUAUAUCCCUAGCACUUAAUGCACACUAUGGAAAUAAUAAAUGUUUGAACCAAAUAAAGGGGUAAAAUUAAAAGACUGAGAAUUUUUUUUUUCAAUAUCUGUUAAGCACUCACCAAGUUCAAGGCUCUGUGAUUGGUGUGAGGGAAACACAAAGAUGACCUAUUCUCACUGGGAGAGGGCUCAUGGCACUGGAGUUUUUGGAAGUCAGCUGAGACCUCUUACGAACUGGAGUGUUGUGUCUAAAGACCAAAAGUUUCACCCUACUGUCUCCUAGAAGAAUUGAGCCUGAGCAUAAACUAAUUACUCUUCUCUGCCCUGCAACUGAAUAGACAAAUACCUCUUUAGUUAGUCAUUAGGAUCUAAUCAGAGUAAUUUCCAUACAAGAAUGUGUGUAGAUUGAGUUUGUUCUCCAAUUGUAACAUUUGUGAAAUUCAACCACAAUUCUACUUAUUAAUAGUCAUUAGGGGUCUAUAAAUAACGCACAAUCCUUUAGGUUAAAAAAAAAAAGCUGUGAGCUUAGCUGGUUUGAAAUGUAAACAGGCUAUUCAUGAAUUUGCACACUGUAAUUCCCUGUUUGGCCUCUGGCCAACAUUCAUUCCCUGGAAGUGGCCACUGAUAGAAACGUUGUAUGUCAUCUGAUGAUGAGUCCUGGCAGGUCAAGAUCUAGAUUUGUAGAUUUACAAUCCAGUAGUCUGCAACUCUCUUUCACCCAUUAACUUAAGAAAUAUUGAUUGAUCCCUUCAGCAUUUGGGUGCCGUGGGUGGUACAUGUAUGGAUGCAGCACAAGUCCAGCCAGGAAAGAAUUUAAAUUCUGCUGUUAGAUGUGGACCUGGAUAUUAGCAACGUCCAGCAGGGAUGCAGGUGGGGAAGGAACGGGAAGGGGGAGUCAGUCUAAGCAAAAGAAGCUGAGAUCAACAGCUUAGAGCACAAAAUUGAACAUUAUAAAAUAUUCCAACUUUUUAAAUUGGGAGACUUGACAUAAACUUCCACAUUUCUAACUUCUCUUGUAAAGUAAGGAGAUCUGACAGCACUGAGGCCACCUUCCAUUCCUUCUAGCAGCAAUCAGUUGUGCCAAGUGUUUCAAAAUUCCCCACAGAUAUUAAUCUUCAGGAUUCUGGAACAAGAACCUUUGCUGCUUGCCUGGUGCAUGUUCCUUAACUUUUCAAUCUCUUCAUCUGUAAAAUAGGAAUGAUAAUAA